AGUCGAACGCGUGUAGCAAUACACGAGUGGCGGACGGGUGAGUAACGCGUGGGAACCUGCCCAGUGGUAGGGAAUAACCGCGGGAAACUGCGGCUAAUACCCUAUGAGCCCUACGGGGGAAAGAUUUAUCGCCAUUGGAGGGGCCCGCGUCGGAUUAGCUAGUUGGUAGGGUAAUGGCCUACCAAGGCGACGAUCCGUAGCUGGUCUGAGAGGAUGAUCAGCCACACUGGGACUGAGAUACGGCCCAGACUCCUACGGGAGGCAGCAGUGGGGAAUAUUGGACAAUGGGGGAAACCCUGAUCCAGCAAUGCCGCGUGAGUGAAGAAGGCCUUAGGGUUGUAAAGCUCUUUCGGCGGGGACGAUGAUGACGGUACCCGCAGAAGAAGCCCCGGCUAACUUCGUGCCAGCAGCCGCGGUAGUACGAAGGGGGCUAGCGUUGUUCGGAAUCACUGGGCGUAAAGGGCGCGUAGGCGGCUUGACAAGUCAGGUGUGAAAGCCCCGGGCUCAACCCGGGAAUUGCACUUGAUACUGUUUCGCUAGAGUCCGGGAGAGGAUGGCGGAAUUCCCAGUGUAGAGGUGAAAUUCGUAGAUAUUGGGAAGAACACCGGUGGCGAAGGCGGCCAUCUGGACCGGUACUGACGCUGAGGCGCGAAAGCGUGGGGAGCAAACAGGA
RNAcentral lists this ribosomal RNA (673 nucleotides) under uncultured bacterium. Its description in RNAcentral is "bacterial SSU rRNA". It matches the Rfam family "Bacterial small subunit ribosomal RNA", at positions 60 to 777 of the family's 1533-position model. The record is from RNAcentral.